CUCUCUGUGAGGCUUGACACUGGGAAGGAGAGAUUAGAAGAGGAGUAUCUCCACUUAUUCUGCUUGUUUGAAAACAUUCCCCUGCUUUUUCUCUUUCUUUCUCUGUCUCUCUGGUAUGACCCUGUUCAAGAGUGAAUAUCACAGCCUAAGACAUAAAACCAUGACUGGGGAAAUGAGAGCCAGCCGCCCAAAGGCGGGAACCAAGAGAGCCAGCAGUGAGGCCUACAGUCCUGCCAUGCCAGUACAAUCCAACAGACCUCCCUCCCUAAUUUGGAGAAUGGACAGCUGUUAUUAUUUGUUGUUAUUGCCCUCAUCUGUGUUCCUGAUCACUGUCCCAGUUCCUCC
Esox lucius (northern pike) is the source of this 345-nucleotide long non-coding RNA. NCBI's taxonomy places the organism in Eukaryota, Metazoa, Chordata, Actinopteri, Esociformes, Esocidae. The record is from Ensembl.